This 76-nucleotide transfer RNA is filed under the name Anabaenopsis circularis NIES-21. RNAcentral describes it as "tRNA-Arg". It matches the Rfam family "tRNA". From Rfam's summary of the family: Transfer RNA (tRNA) molecules are approximately 80 nucleotides in length. Lineage: Bacteria; Bacillati; Cyanobacteriota; Cyanophyceae; Nostocales; Nodulariaceae. The record is from RNAcentral.
UGAGGAUGUAGCUCAGUCGGAAAGAGCGCUUGUUUCCGAGGCAAGUGGUCACAGGUUCGAUUCCUGUCGUCCUCGU